RNAcentral lists this unclassified non-coding RNA (446 nucleotides) under uncultured fungus. RNAcentral's name for it is "partial contains 5.8S ribosomal RNA and internal transcribed spacer 2". The stretch from base 1 to 133 matches the Rfam family "5.8S ribosomal RNA", at positions 22 to 154 of the family's 154-position model. The record is from RNAcentral. Lineage: Eukaryota; Fungi.
UGGCUCUCGCAUCGAUGAAGAACGCAGCGGAAUGCGAUAAGUAAUGUGAAUUGCAGAAUUCAGUGAAUCAUCGAAUCUUUGAACGCACCUUGCGCCUCUUGGUAUUCCGAGAGGCAUGCCUGUUUGAGUGUCAUUAAAUUCUCAACUUCAAAAGCUUUGUCUUUUUGAAGCUUGGAUGUGAAGGCUUGCUGGCGUCUUAGACUUCAGCUCCUUUGAAAUGCAUUAGUGGACCCGUUUGUGUUCAUCCUUAGUGUGAUAAUUAUCUACGCUAUGGUUUUGGAUGCAUGCUCAUUAGAAUCUUUUCAAGCUGUUCUACAGUCUUGGUGUGGAGAGUUGCAUGUACUUGCUCUUUCUGUCUUUUGAGUCAGGAUUGUCUGCUUCUAACCGUCUGCAUCUGUGGACAACUUGAACCAUUUGACCUCAAAUCAGGUAGGACUACCCGCUGA